UACGUAUGGUGCAAGCGUUAUCCGGAUUUACUGGGUGUAAAGGGAGCGCAGGCGGCACGGCAAGCCUGAUGUGAAAGCCCGCGGCCCAACCGCGGGACUGCAUUGGGAACUACCGGGCUGGAGUGCCGGAGAGGUAGGCGGAAUUCCUUGUGUAGCGGUGAAAUGCGUAGAUAUAUGGAGGAACACCGGUGGCGAAAGCGGCUCUCUGGCCUGUAACUGACACUGAGGCUCGAAAGCGUGGGGAGCAAACAGG
RNAcentral lists this ribosomal RNA (253 nucleotides) under uncultured bacterium. Its description in RNAcentral is "partial 16S ribosomal RNA". It matches the Rfam family "Bacterial small subunit ribosomal RNA", at positions 524 to 776 of the family's 1533-position model. The record is from RNAcentral.